Molecule: ribosomal RNA, 520 nt
Filed under: uncultured Glomus
Lineage: Eukaryota; Fungi; Glomeromycota; Glomeromycetes; Glomerales; Glomeraceae
Description: SSU rRNA
Rfam family: Eukaryotic small subunit ribosomal RNA
Source: RNAcentral
CGCAGCCGCGGUAAUUCCAGCUCCAAUAGCGUAUAUUAAAGUUGUUGCAGUUAAAAAGCUCGUAGUUGAAUUUCGGGAUCAAGGCGUCGGUCGUGCUUCGGUACGUACUGGCGUCAUUGAUUUCUCCCUUCUGACGAACCAUGAUGCCAUUAACUUGGUGUUAUGGGAAAUCAGGACUGUUACUUUGAAAAAAUUAGAGUGUUUAAAGCAGGCUCACGCUUGAAUACAUUAGCAUGGAAUAAUGAAAUAGGACGUUCGAUCCUAUUUUGUUGGUUUUUAGGAUCAACGUAAUGAUUAAUAGGGAUAGUUGGGGGCAUUAGUAUUCAAUUGUCAGAGGUGAAAUUCUUGGAUUUAUUGAAGACUAACUACUGCGAAAGCAUUUGCCAAGGAUGUUUUCUAUUAAUCAAGAACGAAAGUUAGGGGAUCGAAGACGAUCAGAUACCGUCGUAGUCUUAACCAUAAACUAUGCCGACUAGGGAUCGGAUGAUGUUAAUUAUUUAAUGACUCAUUCGGCGCCUUA